GUACUGCUGAAGAGUCCCAAACUAAGACGAAACAGCUGUCCAGUAC
Trichobilharzia regenti is the source of this 46-nucleotide non-coding RNA. Lineage: Eukaryota; Metazoa; Platyhelminthes; Trematoda; Strigeidida; Schistosomatidae. The record is from Rfam.